Molecule: long non-coding RNA, 431 nt
Organism: Paramisgurnus dabryanus
Lineage: Eukaryota; Metazoa; Chordata; Actinopteri; Cypriniformes; Cobitidae
Source: RefSeq, a predicted model, not a curated record
CCAAAUAAGUUUUUACGAUUUAUAAACAAUUUAAAGAUAUUUUAAAGUGUUAUGUACUGUUCUAAUUCCAGAGAUGUUUAUUUAUGUAAAUGGUGUGAGGCUUUACCAUGUAUAUAAUAGGCCAAUGGCUAUGCUGUGCACGCGAAACAUGUCCUGCCCCUUUAAAUCACGAAGGGAGUUACCAUGGAAACUGAAGGAGCACGAGGACAGCUAGCUCCGUCUCCCGCGGUUUCUUCGCUGUUUUCAAGAGUGACAAAAACCCUCUAUAAUAGAAGAGAAGCUCAAGAUUUCAACAUUUUCUGAAGGGAGUUGCAGACAGGUGUAGAAAACUGCUUUUCAAAUUUUCCACAUUUAUCACAGUUAUUUUAAGAUGUUGACAUCUAAACAUUUGUCCAUGCUAAUGGCCGAGCAGUAGGGUUGGAACAGACCUG